GAUGAAGAACGUAGCGAAAUGCGAUAAGUAGUGUGAAUUACAGAAUUCAGUGAAUCAUCGAAUCUUUGAACGCACAUUGCGCCCUUUGGUAUUCCUUAGGGCAUGCCUGUUCGAGCGUCAUUUAAACCUUCAAGCUCAGCUUGGUGUUGGGUGACUGUCCGCUUCACCGCGGACUCGCCUCAAAAUUAUUGGCGGCCGGUACAUUGGCUUCGAGCGCAGCAGAAACGCGAACUCGGGCCCGUCGUAUUGGCUCCCAGAAGCUAUCUUCACAAUUUUGACCUCGGAUCAGGUAGGGAUACCCGCUGAACUUAAGCAUAUCAAUAAGCGGAGGA
RNAcentral lists this unclassified non-coding RNA (332 nucleotides) under soil metagenome. Its description in RNAcentral is "partial contains 5.8S ribosomal RNA, internal transcribed spacer 2, and large subunit ribosomal RNA". The stretch from base 1 to 120 matches the Rfam family "5.8S ribosomal RNA", at positions 35 to 154 of the family's 154-position model. The record is from RNAcentral.